GAAAAGAAACCAACAGGGAUUGCCUCAGUAACGGCGAGUGAAGCGGCAACAGCUCAGAUUUGGAAUCUGGUCCUUUGGGGCCCGAGUUGUAAUCUGGAGAGGAUGCUUCUGGCGCGGCGCCGUCCGAGUUCCCUGGAACGGGACGCCGGAGAGGGUGAGAGCCCCGUACGGUCGGACGCCUAGCCUGUGUGAAGCUCCUUCGACGAGUCGAGUAGUUUGGGAAUGCUGCUCAAAAUGGGAGGUAAAUUUCUUCUAAAGCUAAAUACCGGCCAGAGACCGAUAGCGCACAAGUAGAGUGAUCGAAAGAUGAAAAGCACUUUGAAAAGAGGGUCAAACAGUACGUGAAAUUGUUGAAAGGGAAGCGCCCGUGGCCAGACUUGUGCCCGGCAGACCAUCCGGCGCCCCCGCGCCGGUGCACUCUGCCGGGCGCAGGCCAGCAUCGGUUUUCCCAGGGGGAUAAAGGCGGCGGGAACGUGGCUCCCUCGGGAGCGUUAUAGCCCGCCGUGUCAUGCCUCUGGGGGGACCGAGGACCGCGCAUUUAUGCAAGGAUGCUGGCGUAAUGG
RNAcentral lists this ribosomal RNA (563 nucleotides) under Leptographium davidsonii. Its description in RNAcentral is "eukaryotic LSU rRNA". It matches the Rfam family "Eukaryotic large subunit ribosomal RNA", at positions 56 to 637 of the family's 3401-position model. The record is from RNAcentral. Lineage: Eukaryota; Fungi; Ascomycota; Sordariomycetes; Ophiostomatales; Ophiostomataceae.